GGAUGACAAGUAUCACAUUAUAACCACGUUGACCUAAAAUGUGAAGUGCUGGAGCAAAAUCGACAUCUCCAGAUAUGAGCAUUAUGGAUGAUGGGGGAGGGUUAUCGAGGGCAAAGAGAAACAUAUCGACGAGUAUAGCCUUAUCGGCAGCAUCCUUCCGACCAUUCGGCACAUCAAUUAGUUUGACCCCGGUUCUCUGACACCCUUCUCUCAGUCGUCUAGGAAAGGCAUUGAAAUCCCCAUAUGCUGAAAACAUC
RNAcentral lists this unclassified non-coding RNA (257 nucleotides) under Hevea brasiliensis (rubber tree). Lineage: Eukaryota; Viridiplantae; Streptophyta; Magnoliopsida; Malpighiales; Euphorbiaceae. The record is from RNAcentral.